AUUUUGUGAUUCUUUCCUUUAUUUUCAAGAUCUUCUCUGUAUUAUAUUUUACUUGGAGGAUUUUUCCUUGCUGUCUUCAGAUCUCCCUGACUUUGAGUUCCGCUCCCAUCACCAGGAUGCUGCUGAUCUGCUCUCUGCUCUACCCAGCAGCUUGGCUCAGUGGUGGGAGUUCCAGGGGCUGCCUUCACUGUUUCCUUCAAUUAUGUUCUCCAAAGAGUCAUACCUCUCCCAGAGUCUCAGCUAUUCUUCGAGUCCAGGUUUUGUUCAUCAAAAUGAGUGAAAGAGGACUCAUUCGCCUGUACAUCUUAGUGAGCCCAAGUGAAAAAGAAUAAAACAGCAUCUGAAAAUGUAUUAUGGAGUUUGCUUGCUGAUGCAAAAAGAAAAUUAACACCUUGGCUGAUAACUUGGAUUGCUUUACUCUUAUGACGUUUUACAGCAAUAAUUAUCCCUUUCUGUGAAACAACACUUUUUAAGGAAGAUUUUAAUUAGAAAGUUUCUUUUAUUUCCCAUUGCACUCAUGGUACCAAAAGGAAACAUGUCAGUGUCCCUUCCAUUAAUUUAUCAAAUGCUUUCUGCUUUUUAUAAAAAAUGGAUAUCUGACACUGAAGAAAGAUACAGUUUUG
RNAcentral lists this long non-coding RNA (623 nucleotides) under Phasianus colchicus (ring-necked pheasant). Its description in RNAcentral is "lncRNA (ENSPCLG00000005230.1)". The record is from RNAcentral. Lineage: Eukaryota; Metazoa; Chordata; Aves; Galliformes; Phasianidae.